Molecule: unclassified non-coding RNA, 4113 nt
Filed under: Hevea brasiliensis (rubber tree)
Lineage: Eukaryota; Viridiplantae; Streptophyta; Magnoliopsida; Malpighiales; Euphorbiaceae
Source: RNAcentral
UUUUUUGAAUGGAUAUAAGCCAAGAACAAAAAUCAACAACAAAAAAAAGGCAGGUGAAAUGCCAAAACUGCAUGGAGCUUUAUGUUAUUAUUACCACAACAUUCCCCCCACACAAAGAUUUGAAGCCAAGAUGGUGAAGAUAAAAGACCUGAAAAGAAUAUAUAUAUAAGCACACUUUUAUUAAAAACAAAUGAAAUGAUGAAUGGACUGCCUUUUUACACUCUGCUGUACAUAAUUCCAUCCUCAGUUGUACAUUACAUCCUAAACUGUCUGCAUUCACAAUCAUCUAAUCACUACAGAACAAAUUUUCAAUUGAAAAAUGAAAAACAAAAAUGCAAGCUCACAACAAACCUGUGACCAUAAACAAUACCAAACAACUAACUCAACCAAAAAGAGGGGGAAAUUUUUAUAAAGCUAGAAGUUCAAACCAACAGAUGGAAAACAGAAAAAUGGGGAAAAAAUCUCUGGUUUUGUCCAUCAAUCAAGAAAACAAGCUUCCCGGGACCAGAAGCAGCUAAAAAUGCACUGAUGCUGUCCCUUUCACUUCUGAAAAACUGAGCUCCCUUCACUGCAGGAAGAAAUUGAGUGCAGCAUUUAGAAUACUUGAUAGAAAUUAAAGAUGCAAAAAAUGUUUCUUUCUAGGGGAAAAAGUUGUACAGAUUCACAAAUAAGCUUUCUUCCACCUGCAGCUCAGGCUGCAGGAAGCUGAAGGAAAAGCAGAGAUAUGAAGGAGACUCAGAACAAUUGAAGGGCCAUUUUAAGUUUGUUCUGUUUCCAUUUUGGCAUCUUAUAAAAGGCAUCCUUUGCCAUCCCAAAUUUCUCCCUAAACUCUGCUGAUGAGAGGUAAGUCUCUCGCUUUGUCACAUCAAUUUCAGUAACAGGAUCUGUUGAGCUAAUUUUAAGGCGUUCAUAUGGAAAUAUUGGGAGGCCUUCCUCAUCCUCAACUUCACCUUCCUUCACAUCCUCCUGUAUGGUGAGGGAUUCUAUUCUGCUGCUUAUAGAGUUCUCCUUAUUGUUUGACUCAGGUGUUGAUUUUUCAGGAGUUGAUUUCGGUCUUUCAGGGCUCGCUUUGACAGACCGAGGCAUGAUAACUUGUCUUGCUGGUGGCGGUUGUUCAAAAGAUGCACUAAGCGCUGUUAUAGCUGCAGAUUUGGAAGCCUGUUUUGCUGAAUCUGGGGUCACAGAUCUUGGAUAAAGCUUUCUGACAACUGGUGGUGGGGUUGAAAGGUUCCUGCCAUUAGGGUUCUCAAAAUUAGCAGCCAGGGCACUGAAAGCCGGCGACCUGCCCCUGACACGAACUCUUUCAGGACUGAAAGACAUGCUUCUGGAACGUUGAGAUUUUUCUGGCACACUAGACCUUCCUCCAUAGGAUACAGGUGUUCUUCGUUUGGGUUUAUCAACAAUAGGAGUACCCCCAUUUUUGACAAUUGCAAGCUUUCUCUGGAAUGAGUUUCCAUGCAUAGCAGAUUUUGCAGAGUCCCAUUCAAAGAAACGUGUGAAGAAAGGUGGCUCACUCCCUUCCAUAACAAUGUAUAUGGGAGUUUCACGAGAUAACUUUUCCAACAGAAAAUCAUUUUCAAGAAAUUUCUCUCCAAUAGUUAAAGCAUGCAAUUUGCUCCUGGAGUCAACCUCUUGCCCUACCCAGACAAAGAUCUCGGAGUGACAAUCCAAGAUGUAUAUGUCUUCAGUCAUCAAAUCAUCUUGGGUAAAGUUGUAUAUCUCAGCCACCUUCAGAUUUCCGUUUGAGAAUGUGCAAGAGAAAAGGCGAGGAUCCUUUUCAGCUUCCCUUCCAAUUUUUUGGCUGGGAUAUUCAGUUUUUCCUCCUAACAGAUCCCAAAAUUGCUCAGAUUCUGAACCUUCCUUUUGUGGCUUGGACUGUACAUUUGGCUUUAUCAGAUCCAACUGCCUUUCCACAAGUUCAUGGUCAUCUGAAGUUGUAAGGUUUCCAGACCAUGUAAAUACAGAGGAGUCAUUGUGCAAUAUGUAACAGUAAGAGGAAUUCAGUGACGAUGCAACUGGUUCAACUUGUAUUGAUUGCAUAUUAUCCGGUCCAGAACCCUGAACCCGGAAUAAUGCAACGCUGUCCUCCUUAUAUGUCUCAUCUGGGAGUUCCGUCUCCGCAAUAUAAUUCUUGUAUCCAGUGCUAAGACCACCCUUAAAAACAAUAAAGCUCUGCAAGAUUGUAAAGAACUGAAUUGGUUCAUUUCCUUCAUAGAUGCGAGCCUGGGAGGGCAGAAACUUUAAUGAUUCAACCAUCUUGCUUGCUAGUGAAAUAGCAGAAGCUCUUUCCUCCUCAACGCUCUUCUUCCCAAACCAUGUUCCUAUAAGAUAUUCAUCCUUGUCUUCUCCUGGAUAUGAAUAUUGAAAAAUAUAGCAGUCUCCACCGUAAAAUUUUGAAUGAUCUGAAGCGUCAAGGAGAACCUUGUCCUUGCCAUCCACACGCCAAACCUGCAGAUUUCCUGUGACAUCAAUAUACGGUUGAGGUUCUUCCUUUGCAGGAGCAGCUUUCAAAAGGCCCUUGACAUUUACCCCCUGCCGUCUUAGAAGUGCUGCAACUUUGCCUCUACCAUCCUCAGACACAGCUACAUCAGUUGUCUCUGGCCAUGAUUCAAACUUUGACCGAAACAUCACUGUCUCGAAACCCUCGAUUACACGAAUAAUGUGGGACUUUGGUCGAUCAGCUCCACGGACUAACUCCUCUGCAGCUCCACUUGCAACCUUUCUUUCAUCAAGUGAGGUAUUUCUCCCCAUCCAUACAAACACUUCCAAUCCACAAUCUAGAAUAUAGCACUUGUAUGUGUCUAGUAAUUCCCUUGUCAAAGAAUCUGUAUCAACAGGUUCUGCCUGCCCCUUCUCAACCCAAAACAGCUUAGUCGGAGAAUCAGCUAUCUUAUCCUCAUCAGUUGUUGUUUUCCUAGGAAGUGGAGCAAAACCGCCAAAGAAACCCCAGAAUUCCCCAGUGUCAGCAUCAGCCAUCAAUUUCCCAUCCUCAAUGGCAGCUACGUCGCACUUUCCAUCAUGAUAAGUAUCCUUAAUGUACUGGACUACUUCUAAAGCUUUAGCUCUCUCUUGGAUAGAUGAGUUGGAACCAUUAAAUUGAAAAAUUUUUGACUUGGUAUCAAGAAUAAAAAUAUCAUCAUGGCUGAGUGAGGAUCGAGCAAAAGGAACCUCUUUUACAUGAACAACGUGUUUUCCUUUGCAAACAAACAAGCGGGUCUGGUGUUCUUCAGGUUCAGCAUGUUUGAACCCAGAUGCAACACCACCUUCUUGAGGUAUAAUACACGGUUUAAAAUAAGAUAGGAACUUCUCUGUUUCAUGGCCCUGUACUUCACGGUACUGUACGGCACGACCUCCAAGCGCUGCAUCAAGUUCAACUGUUUUGAUAGCUGCUGUUCCAGCUUCAUCCUGACUUGUAUCUUUCCCAAUCCAGAAGUGUACGUCAUAGAGAUAAGCGCCCCCCUUGCCAGAUGUUGUCUGCAAAACAAUGUAAGAAUCCCCCAUGUAGAAUUUUCCAUAAUCAGAUUUUGGCAGUGGAACUGGCUGAAAAUUCUCAAUUCGCCAAAUUUCAGUCCCUGGUCUCUGACCCACUCCCUGAAAUGCAGGAUCCAGAGCUUUUGUAGAGCUAGACAUUGCCUGAAAUCCUCCUUAUAACAGCUUUACAGAAAAUUUAGAGUAGAUAGUGUUUAAAACUCCAGCUAUCUGCUAUCUCGAAAGUGCAGAGAGCCCAGAAACCACUCUCCGUAGGUGUCAACGCAGAGUAUGAUGCGAUAGUGUGGGAAAAAGAGAUAGCAAUAAGAAAGGACGAGGUAGCACAGGUGGUGAUAAAGAGAGAAAGGAGGAUGAUACAGUAAGAAAAGGGAAGAAGGAAUGUAAAGAAAAGUGAAUAAUUGCAGUGUUUGGGUUUCUCUCUCUUAUAACUUUAAAGAGAAGGGUGGGUUGGAUUUCUUUAUGAGAUUUGUGAUUUCAGAUAAAGAGAAAGAGAAAGGCAGCCUUGGUAUGGUUUGCGAGAGAGAUAUGGUUCGAGAGAGAGAGAGAGAAAUGGAUGAAUUAUGAGAGAUGAUGAACACAGAAAGAGAUAGAAAUAGAAAUCGAGAGAGAGAGAGAGAGAGAGAG